This 75-nucleotide transfer RNA is filed under the name Candidatus Gottesmanbacteria bacterium RBG_16_37_8. Its description in RNAcentral is "tRNA-Arg". It matches the Rfam family "tRNA". Rfam says of the family: Transfer RNA (tRNA) molecules are approximately 80 nucleotides in length. Their secondary structure includes four short double-helical elements and three loops (D, anti-codon, and T loops). The record is from RNAcentral. Lineage: Bacteria; Candidatus Gottesmaniibacteriota.
GCCUCUGUAGGCUAACGGAUAGACCGCAGGAUUCCGGAUCCUGAUGUGUGGGUUCGAUUCCCGCCAGAGGCGCAA